This 872-nucleotide ribosomal RNA is filed under the name Escherichia coli. RNAcentral's name for it is "partial 23S ribosomal RNA". It matches the Rfam family "Bacterial large subunit ribosomal RNA", at positions 2071 to 2925 of the family's 2925-position model. RNAcentral also lists the same sequence under 1 other name. Lineage: Bacteria; Pseudomonadati; Pseudomonadota; Gammaproteobacteria; Enterobacterales; Enterobacteriaceae. The record is from RNAcentral.
CGCGGCAAGACGGAAAGACCCCGUGAACCUUUACUAUAGCUUGACACUGAACAUUGAGCCUUGAUGUGUAGGAUAGGUGGGAGGCUUUGAAGUGUGGACGCCAGUCUGCAUGGAGCCGACCUUGAAAUACCACCCUUUAAUGUUUGAUGUUCUAACGUGGGCCCCUUACCGGGGUUGCGGACAGUGUCUGGUGGGUAGUUUGACUGGGGCGGUCUCCUCCUAAAGAGUAACGGAGGAGCACGAAGGUUGGCUAAUCCUGGUCGGACAUCAGGAGGUUAGUGCAAUGGCAUAAGCCAGCUUGACUGCGAGCGUGACGGCGCGAGCAGGUGCGAAAGCAGGUCAUAGUGAUCCGGUGGUUCUGAAUGGAAGGGCCAUCGCUCAACGGAUAAAAGGUACUCCGGGGAUAACAGGCUGAUACCGCCCAAGAGUUCAUAUCGACGGCGGUGUUUGGCACCUCGAUGUCGGCUCAUCACAUCCUGGGGCUGAAGUAGGUCCCAAGGGUAUGGCUGUUCGCCAUUUAAAGUGGUACGCGAGCUGGGUUUAGAACGUCGUGAGACAGUUCGGUCCCUAUCUGCCGUGGGCGCUGGAGAACUGAGGGGGGCUGCUCCUAGUACGAGAGGACCGGAGUGGACGCAUCACUGGUGUUCGGGUUGUCAUGCCAAUGGCACUGCCCGGUAGCUAAAUGCGGAAGAGAUAAGUGCUGAAAGCAUCUAAGCACGAAACUUGCCCCGAGAUGAGUUCUCCCUGACUCCUUGAGAGUCCUGAAGGAACGUUGAAGACGACGACGUUGAUAGGCCGGGUGUGUAAGCGCAGCGAUGCGUUGAGCUAACCGGUACUAAUGAACCGUGAGGCUUAACCUUACAACGCCGAAG